RNAcentral lists this ribosomal RNA (497 nucleotides) under uncultured bacterium. RNAcentral describes it as "partial 16S ribosomal RNA". It matches the Rfam family "Bacterial small subunit ribosomal RNA", at positions 28 to 507 of the family's 1533-position model. The record is from RNAcentral.
GAUGAACGCUGGCGGCGUGCCUAAUACAUGCCAGUCGAGCGAACGGACGAGAAGCUUGCUGCUCUGAUGUUAGCGGCGGACGGGUGAGUAACACGUGGAUAACCUACCUAUAAGACUGGGAUAACUUCGGGAAACCGUAGCUAAUACCGGAUAAUACUUUGAACCGCAUGGUUCAAGAGUGAAAGACGGUCUUGCUGUCACUUAUAGAUGGAUCCGCGCUUCAUUAGCUAGUUGGUAAGGUAACGGCUUACCAAGGCAACGAUGCAUAGCCGACCUGAGAGGGUGAUCGGCCACCCUGGAACUGGGACAGGGUCCAGACUACUACGGGAGGCAGCAGUAGGGAAUGUUACGCAAUGGGCGAAAGCCUGACGGAGCAACGCCGCGUGAGAGAUGAAGGUCUUCGGAGCGUAAAACUCUGUUAUGAGGGAAGAACAGAUGUGUAAGUAAAUGUGCACAUCUUGAAGGUACCUAAUCAGAAAGCCACGGCUAACUACGGG